Molecule: ribosomal RNA, 441 nt
Filed under: Asterionellopsis glacialis
Lineage: Eukaryota; Bacillariophyta; Plagiogrammaphyceae; Rhaphoneidales; Asterionellopsidaceae
Description: partial Eukaryotic large subunit ribosomal RNA
Rfam family: Eukaryotic large subunit ribosomal RNA
Source: RNAcentral
AGAACUUUGAAGACUGAAGUGGAGAAGGGUUUCAUGUGAACAGUGCUUGGACAUGGGUUAGCCGGUCAUAAGAGAUAGGUAUGUUUUGCGCAUGCAGGCUUUGCUUCGUUCCUUGACAAGGAAUGGGGUUAAUAUCCCCCAGCCAGGACGUGGAUAUUGCAUGGUAACAUAAUGUAGGUUGGUGAUGCAAUGGGAAGCCUUGGUAAGCGUUGUCUUUUCUGUUUAAUUGUUUAUUACCCUGAAAUCAGAUUGCCUGGAGAUAGGGUUGAAUGGCAAGCAAAGCACCUUGUCUUCUGAGGUGUCUGGUGUGCUUUCAGUUGCCCUUGAAAAACCAAAUGAUUGUUUUAUUCUCUCCCCUGGUCGUGCCCAUAUCCGCAUCAGGUCUCCAAGGUUUGUAGCCUCUGGUCUUUGGAACAAAGUAGGUAAGGGAAGUCGGCAAAA